AUGGCACUGCGCCGUGCUGUGCUGGGGCGCACCACACCGGUCUGCNNNNNNNNNNNNNNNNNNNNNNNNNNNNNNNNNNNNNNNNNNNNNNNNNNNNNNNNNNNNNNNNNNNNNNNNNNNNNNNNNNACUUUGCAGCCGGAGCGGCGGGAGGGGUGGGAAGGGCUGUGCCGGCCCCGCGCCGCAUCCCAUGCCGUGCUGCGCUGUGCCGCGCCGCGCUGUGCCGUGCCAUGCCGGGGUGCACCACACCGGUCUGCACCGCCCCGGGCCGUGCCAUGCCGUAUUGCACUGUGCCGUGCUGGGGCGCACGGCACCAGUCUGCGCCAUCCCGGCCCGUGCCAUGCCGUGCCGUGCCAGGCUGUAUGGCACUGUCCCAAGUCCUGCUGUGGUGCACUGCCUUGUGUCAUCCUGGUCCAGUCCGGUGCCGCUCUGGUGAGUCCUGUUCUGGUCCAGUGCCCUCCCGGUCAUAUCCAUGCCGGUGUUGGUGCCAGUGCCAGUCCGUCCCAGUCUGUUCUGUGCUGGUGCUGCUGUUGGUGUCAGUCCGUCCCGGUCCAUUCUGUGCCAGUGUUGGUGCUGGUGCCGGUCCAUCCCGGUCUGUUCUGUGCCGGUGUUGGCGCUGGUGCCGGUGCGGGUCUGUCCUGGUCCAUUCUGUGCCGGUGUUGGUGCUGGUGCCGGUCUGUCCUGGUCCGUUCCGUGCUGGUGUUGGUGCCGGUGUGGGUCUGUCCUGGUCCAUUCUGUGCCGGUGCGGGUGGCAUUCUGCUCCAGUCGGUGCUCAUCGGGUCCAUCACAGUCCAGUCCAGUCUGGUCCAUCCUGGUUGGUGCCAGUUGGGCCUGUCCCACCCCAGUCCAGUCCAGUGGGUCUGUUCUGGUCGGGUCCAAUCGGGUCCAUUAUGAUCCGGUGUGGUUUGAUGCAGUCAGUGCUAGUCAGGUCCAUUCCGGUUUGUUCCGGUCAGGUCGGGUCGGGUCUGUCCCAGUCUGGUCCGGUCCAGUCCAGUCAGUGCCAGUCGGGUCUGCUCCAGUCGGGUCUGAUCCAGUCCGUCCUGGUCAGGUUCAGUCCGGUCUGGUCCAGUCAGUGCCGGUCAGGUCCAUCCCACUCACAUCUGGUCCAGCCCAGUCCAGUUGGUGCUGGUCCAGUCCAGUCGGGUCUAGUCCGGUCAGGUCCGGUCCAGUCCAGUCAGUGCCAGUCGGGUCUGCUCCAGUCAGGUCUGAUCCAGACCGUCCCAGUCAGGUCCAGUCCGGUCUGGUCCAGCCAGUGCCAGUCAGGUCCAUCCCACUCACGUCCAGUCCGGUCCAGUCCAGUUGGUGCUGGUCCAGUCCAUUCGGGUCUGGUCCGGUCUGUCCCGGUCAGGUCUGGUCAGACCGGUCCGGUCAGGUCCGGUCCAGUCCAGUCAGUGCCAGUCGGGUCUGCUCCAGUCAGGUCUGAUCCAGACCGUCCCAGUCAGGUCCAGUCCGGUCUGGUCCAGCCAGUGCCGGUCAGGUCCAUCCCACUCACGUCCAGUCCGGUCCAGUCCAGUUGGUGCUGGUCCAGUCCAUUCGGGUCUGGUCCGGUCUGUCCCGGUCAGGUCUGGUCAGACCGGGUCCGAUCCAUCCCAGUCGGGUCUGGUCCAGUCCAGUUAGUGUCGGUCAGGUCCAUCCUGCUUAGGUUUGGUCUGGUCCGGUCCAGUCCAUGCUGCUCCGGUCCAGUCGGGUCCGCUCCGGUCGGGUCCAAUCCAGUCGAUCCCGGUCGGGUCCGGUCCAGUCAGUGCUGGUCCAGUCUAGUUGGGUCUUGUCUGGUCCAGUCCAGUCAGGUCGGGUCUGGUCUGUCCCAGCCCGGUCUAGUCUGGUCCAGUCCAGUCAGUGCUGGUCCAGUCCAGUCUGGUCCGGUCCGGUCCAGUCCAGUUGGGUCGGGUCUGGUCUGUCCCAGCCUGGUCUAGUCUGGUCCAGUCCAGUCGGUACUGGUCCAAUCCACCUGGUGCUGGUCCGAUCCGGUCCAGUCGGGUCGGGUCUGGUCUGUCCCGGCCCGGUCCAGUCCGGUCUAGUCGGGUCCAGUCCAGUCCAUCCCGUUCGGGUCUGGUCUGGUCGGGUCACAGAAUCACAGAAUGGCUGAGGUUGGAAGGGACCUCUGGAGAUCAGCUAGUCCAACCUCCCUGCUCAAGCAGGGUCCCCUAGAGCACAUUGCCCAGGAUCGCGUCCAGGCGGGUUUUGAAGAUCUCCAGCAAAGGAGACUCCACUACCUCUCUGGGCAACCUGUGCCAGGGCUCUGUCACCCUCACAG
Long non-coding RNA from Struthio camelus australis, 2252 nucleotides. Lineage: Eukaryota; Metazoa; Chordata; Aves; Struthioniformes; Struthionidae. The record is from Ensembl.